UUACAUUCCUAUAAUAUUAAAAUGACUGGAAGGUAAGAAGUGGUGGUCUUUUUAUCUUGCCAAUUGAGAUAUUAGCAUACAAACUUCCAAUGAUGCUUCUGAAACACCAAAUUCCUUAUUACAUAUGCAUCAUGCCGCAAUAAAAUCUAGAUGACGGCAAUCUUCACAAAAUGUAGAUGGCACCUGCCUAAACUUGACACCAUCGACCAAAUGUAAUUUCGAUACCAUGGUCAAAACUAAAAAAAACAAGAGAGGAGUAAGCCGCUGCCUAGAAAACUUACCUCGAGGGACAGAGCAUAACAACCCCUGCAAAAUUAUGAAGAAAAAAUUCGUUCCUGUCAAACAAGAGAGGAAAUCAAAAGGAAAUGAAAAAAGAGAUCCUUCUUCUCCGCUAAUCUGAGAGGGAUAAACAGAGGGUAAAUUAACUCACCGAACCAAUCUCUCCUUGACUGGUCUGCUAAGACCUCGGUUGUAGCAAAGGUAUUUGUUCAUGUUCCCCACAGACCACGGUGCAACCACAGCAAGGCAAUGAACAUGAACUGGAAGAUGAAAGUUAGCACCAAAUCAGGUAAUAUUGGAGGAUGUCAGGUCUGCACUUCACAUUUUACAAUUCAUAAGUGCACUCUUUUUUUGUUCAAACAGAAAGUAAUUAAGUAUUAAGUCUCAGCCUGGGCCCCUCUAAUGAAAAAUUCCAUACAACAGCUAAGCUAAUAUCCAUACUCCAAUCGUGAAGUUUGAACAGAAAAUGAAACAGAGGUAACAAUCUCACUUUACCUGUAAAUGGAAUGCAACUAAGGAGAUAAUUUCCGUGGAGCAAAUCGUUCCAUCUUUCGGACAAUUAACACAAUGUAUCUUAGCCAGAAAUUCAUCUACAGAAGUAUCUGAAAUCUUCCAUCAAUAGAAGAAACAAGUUUAAAUAUCCUUGAUCUUGACAUGCCUGCAAAUCGGAAGAACAUCAACGACAUAUAGAGAUGCAUAAAUAACAAGAUCAGGAGGAGAUUACUGUGUGAUGGGGGAGAGAGAGAGGAGCCGAGGGGAAGCCCACCUUGGAAUCAGCCAUUGCUUGAUGCUUGUGCCGCUCCCCAAAAUCUGCCCGUGAUUGCCUGUCCCCGCCGCCGCACACAUGGUGCUAGGCGGACCGUGCACCUUCUCCCUGCGCACCUCCUCGUACCGCACCAUAUGCUCGUUGCUGCCCUUCAGCGUGGACGUGACCCUCGCGUAAGGCACGCGGCCCAUCAAGGUCGAGCUCUUGUACGCGCCACUGUUGUUGGCUGCGCUGGCCGCGGGGUUCCUCCUGUACGGAGGGGCUCUGGCUGAGUUGCUUCGGGGCCUCGCGGUGCGCUUCGCCGCCGGCGUGCUCAGGGUGGAGCAUGUGAGGACGGAGGAGGAGCUUGGGGCGGACCAGGGAGGGGAGGAUGCAGGAGGGCGCGGCUAGAGUUCGUGGGGGUGGCGGCUGAGACAAGGGAGGAGGAAGGGGUGCGGGCGGGCGGCUGUGGGGAUUGGGGGACAAUGGGCUUUCCAGAGGCGCAACCAAUCAGACCCUCACACCGACGACCCCACCGACGAAGCGGCCCACCGGUCAUACACAUGUGAAAGAAAUAACAAGGUGAAAUAUGCAGUGAAUAUCCAACGUCUGAGGGGAAGCGAGGUGGGAAAUUCACUACGAUCGGACAGCCAGGAACGGCGCAAUCCGGGGAGCUCUUCCAAUAUAUAGCUCCGAACACCAUCCUUUCACAUGACUAUAGCAAGAGGGCCUCAAAUGAGAAGGUGGUAAGCAGAUCAACCAAUAAUUUUAUUUUGGCGAAUAGCUUGCUUAUCAGUCAUUACAUGCAGUUGAGGCAAUAUCAUGGACUAAUUCUCUUACUAUCGAAUGCUUGUGAAAUAGCCCUUUAUAAAAUCUGAUGUAUCAUGAAAUUUUUAAUGAUUAAGUGGAAGUACACACAAAAUACAAAACUAACGCUCGCUGAGAAUAGAUGAAGAACCCCAAACUGAGUCCAUCUUGCACUAAAAAAUUGAAAAUUGUGACAACAGACCUCCUACCUAACCAUUUUUUUCCAGAUUUAGGUAUAUUCGAGGUUGUGGCAUCUUCUAACGCUGUAUUCAUCUGAUUAUAUUAUCCAGUGACUUCCUACUCAGAAGAUGAAGGUAUCAUAUGUUGCAAAUUCAAAAAAUGUUAUCAUGCAUUGAACAACCAAAGAUAAAUUAGCAAAGGGUGGCAUUAAUAUGAGUAGUAGAGAGAUGGGGAACCAUGACCCUUCUUCAUUCAGAGAUUAACAACUGAGAUUUUUUAUUCCUGUACAAAGCAACACCGCACGCUCUAUGUUUCAGCACAAGUGCAUACUGCAUUCAGAGAUUAACAACUGAAAUUUUCGAUCUGGGGCCAAUUAGAUAUAUGGUAGCAGCUAGCAUUCUUAUUGAAGUGAUUCUCACCGGAAUCUAUUUUGUAUACUAAAUUAUAAGAUGGAUUAUUUUGGGUUUACAGCUGCCAUUAUUAAGGCUCUGAACAUGAUACUAUUUGCAUUAUAGUGGAGUGCUUUUAGACAUAUGCAUAAAAGCAAACAUUCGUUCUUAUCAUGUAACAGAGAUACUGUUCUUUUGAUAAGCGCUUUUUCUACCCAUUUAUAAUAGGGACAUGCUACUGCUUAGCUGCGCCUCUGUUUGCUGCCGAUACUACGAACUAUAAUUUAUGUGGGUGUACUUUAUGCGUAUAUACACGAUGUAUAAAGCAUGAACCUGGCAAGAAAAAUACAAAGGAAUAUAUGAUGCUGCAGUAUACCUAUUUAUCUAACUGAAAUUAAGCCUACCACUUCCUGCUCUCUAUUACUUCAGAAUCAUAUGUAUGAGAAAACACUGAUACCCAUUACUUUAUACUGACAAGCUGCAUGCUCCGGGACAAAGGUCUCGCACCAUGUCACGCCACAGCUCCUUUCUCUUCUCGAAUCAACAUCUUGAUUUUGAGAUGCAACAUAUAACCAGGUUUUUAUCUUGAUCCUAAACUAGUUCUGAUCCUAAACUAAUCUUGGAAACAUUUUGUACCCAACAUGCUUCAAUCUGUACUCAGCGCAUCAAAGGAAACAAAAAAUGAAUAACACCCAGUCGUGUAAAUGCAGGGGCACUGAAUUCAACUUACAUUCCUAUAAUAUUAAAAUGACUGGAAGGUAAGAAGUGGAGGUCUUUUUAUCUUGCCAAUUGAGAUAUUAGCAUACGAACUUCCAAUGAUGCUUCUGAAACACCAAAUUCCUUAUUACAUAUGCAUCAUGCCGCAAUAAAAUCUAGAUGACGGCAAUCUUCACAAAAUGCAGAUGGCACCUGCCUAAACUUGACACCAUCAACCAGAUGUAAUUUCGAUACCAUGGGCAAAACUAAAAAAACAAGAGAGGAGUAAGCCGCUGCCUAGCAAACUUACCUCGAGGGACAGAGCAUAACAACCCCUGCAAAAUUAUGAAGAAAAAAUUCGUUCUUGUCAAACAAGAGAGGAAAUCAAAAGGAAAUGAAAAAAAAGAUCCUUCUUCUCCGCUAAUCUGAGAGGGAUAAACAGAG
RNAcentral lists this long non-coding RNA (3540 nucleotides) under Triticum aestivum (bread wheat). RNAcentral's name for it is "long non-coding RNA (TAES_LNC020495)". Lineage: Eukaryota; Viridiplantae; Streptophyta; Magnoliopsida; Poales; Poaceae. The record is from RNAcentral.